This 176-nucleotide ribosomal RNA is filed under the name Clostridioides difficile. RNAcentral's name for it is "partial 23S ribosomal RNA". It matches the Rfam family "Bacterial large subunit ribosomal RNA", at positions 2747 to 2925 of the family's 2925-position model. The record is from RNAcentral. Lineage: Bacteria; Bacillati; Bacillota; Clostridia; Peptostreptococcales; Peptostreptococcaceae.
AGCUAUGUACGGAAUGGAUAAGCGCUGAAAGCAUCUAAGCGCGAAGCCAACUUCAAGAUAAGAUUUCCCACCGCAAGGGUAAGACCCCAGAAAGACUAUCUGGUUGAUAGGUCGAAGGUGUAAGUGCAGCAAUGUAUUUAGCUUAUCGAUACUAAUAGGUCGAGGACUUGACCAAU